UUCUCUCUCACUCUUAAUCUCACUCACGUCUGCUGUCCGUCCAUGUCUGUCUCGCAUUCUCAGUUUCUCUCCACAGUCGAUCGAACGCAAAACUCUCGGAUCCUUCUUGCUGCUCUCAAACAAUGAAGAUGGUGCUGGCUGGUCGACACAAGCGGCGAGGACCACCGUGUGCAGGUGUCAGUCGGGACAUUUGCAGAUUUUGUAUUUGAAAAGAGCAGUGCUUUGGGAAGGUCAAUUCUAGAUUUGAACCGGUUUGUGAAGCAGGGGCUAGAUCAGAUGGUGAUUUUGAUAGAGAGGUGUGUAGAGGCCAUGAAGUUGCUUGUUGGGCUAAAGCAACGGCCGUCUUCUUCUGAUCCUGAUGGUGGAGUCAACCUGCAUAAAGGAAAUUGCUUAGGGUUCGCUACAUGAAGGAAAUUGCAACCUCCGAGUUCAAUCUACAUAGCUGUGGGAACCUCUCUUAGGCGUUUCAGUUUAUUACAGCUCCCUCAGGUGGUCUUUAGUGUUGCAUUCAUCAGUCUGAAUUAUUAAACAUUAGCUCGGUUUUUGGGCAUAACUAUACUGAUCCUAGUUUAGGUUUUUUUGUUUGCGUCGGUGGUUAACUUUUUUGCAGUUACUUUAUCAUUCCAACUGAUGUACCUAUUUUUUCUAAUAUUCAGUCCCUUAUUAAUAAUUGUACUAUCAUUCUAUA
Long non-coding RNA from Ipomoea triloba (trilobed morning glory), 688 nucleotides. RefSeq lists it as uncharacterized. Lineage: Eukaryota; Viridiplantae; Streptophyta; Magnoliopsida; Solanales; Convolvulaceae. The transcript has 2 exons. The record is from RefSeq and is a predicted model, not a curated record.